CCUCUCUUGCAGUGGAGUUGCCAGAAGGCACUACAGCCAGCAGCACACAGGGGGAAGCAGUUCCCUCCACAUCAGAGCAUCAGAUAGCCAUCAUGGAAUACGUUCCCAAAAAGAUGGGACUGCUUCAAAAGAAGGUGGAUAGCAAAUUAAUGGGUCUGUUCACAAAAGGCUAUCAACCUUUCUCUAUUGUAAAUGACUCGGGAUUUUGUAAUUUUGUACAUGCACUGAAUCCUGCAUAUGAAAUCCUGAGUAGGACUGUGACAAAUGUAAUGUUGCCAGCAGCAUAUGCAGAAGCAAAUGAGAAAGUACAACAAAAGCUGCAAGGCAUAAAGACAAUCUCUAUAACACCAGAUUGCUGGACAUCAACUUCCAAUGAAAGUUGUAUGGCUGUGAGUGGACACUUCAUAAAUGAACAAUUCAGAUUACAGUCUCUACUGCUGGAAUACAAUCAUUUCAGUGGUUUCCAUACCAGCUCAAAUUUGUCCACAGCUUUGAUAAAAAUUACAGAAAAAUUUAGUCUUGGUGGCAAAAUUUUAAUGGUGGUCUCGGACAAUGCACCAAAUAUAAAAAAUGGAGUUUCCACCAUUCUCAAGUGGAAACAUUUUGGUUGUUAUGCCCAUACUCUUGAUUUAGUUGUGCAGGAUGAACUUAAAAAUGUCCUGGAAGUUCACCAGAAAGUCAAGACAAUUGUAGGUUUUUUAAAAGAAGCAGCAGUGCAACAGAGUGGCUCUUAACAUGCCAACAGAACAGUGGCAAAGUUAACAUCAAGAAAUUGAUACAGGACUUGCCCACAAGGUGGAAUUCAACCCUGUUUGUUGGAACGUAUUGUUGAAUUAUCAGAGGCAGUAAAAAUUACAGUUGCCCUUUGUAACAGGCCCACAGAACUUCCAUCACUGUCAAAUGAUGAGUGGGAAAUCUGCUCCGAACUCUGUUCGAUUCCGAAACCGUUUGAGCAGGUUUCGAGGUAGCUCAGUGCAGAGGAGUACCCAACUGACAGCUUGGUUAUAGUCCUGACACAUGGCCUUCUGGCAGUGUGUGAUGAAAUAGCCGAAAUGCGGUUACAUGAAGUUUCAAUGAAAGUUGUUGAUGCAUUGAAAGAGGGGCUUACAAACCGGUUUUCGAAUCUUGAGCAGAGCAAAUCCGUAGCCCUUGCUACCCUGCUGGAUCCACGAUUCAAAUUGCUGACAUUUCAGAACCAGACAGCAGCAGACAACACGAAGAAACAGUUAAUUAAUAUUGUUGCCCAGAGACUGGAAAAAUGUAGGCCAGUAGGUAUUCAGCCUUCACAAAAACCUGCUGAGCCAAAUAAUUUGGCAACUGAGUCCUCUCUGUGGGGCAUAUUUGAUAAGCUAGUGAAACAUGCACAGCCACAGGGCACAGUACAGUCACGUGCUAUUGUAGAGGUUCAAAGGUAUGUUGACAGCUCAGUCAUCAGUAGAAAUGAGGAUCCUCUGGCAUGGUGGAGACAAAAUCAGUACAUAUACCCAACCAUUGCAAAAGAAGUGCAAGAGAGAUUCAAUGUUGUAGCAACUUCUGUGCCUUGUGAGAGGGUGUUCACUAAAAGUGGACAUUUAAUAAAUGACAGAAGAACCCGCCUCAAGCCAUUGAACAGAAGCUGAAAAUUGUGGACCCGUGUGAGGUUUGCUUCCAUGGAGGUAACUAGGCACUUCCAACACAACCAAACAAGACCAAACAACUGUAUGAUGCCUAGCAAUAUUACAACGUGUGUGUGUGUGUGUGUGUGUGUGUGUGUGUCCAGUAUGUAGAUGAAACAUUUUAUUCUUCUAGUACAUAUGUUGUCAUGAAAAAAAAAACUGAACUCAUUUGUAUUUUGAUCACAGGCAGGUAACUGGGCACUUUCAACACAAGCGAACAAGACCACACAACUGUAUGAUGCCUAGGAAAAUGUAAAAUAUGUAACUGGGCACUUUCAACACAACCAAACAGACCUCACAACUGUAUGAUGAUUAGCAAAAUGUAAAAUAUGUGAGUAUUUUGGUGUUUCAUAAUUCAUGCUAAGAAUAAUUUUGCCGGAAUAAGUUAUUUAGGAAGUAUGGGAUAUAACUAGGAACAUGCAUGAAAUGAAAUGUUUGGGCUCGGAUUCACUUUGUAACUGUGCAAAGUUAAGUGUUAUAAUGUAUUGUACUAAGAUAUGAUUUUUCAAUAUUGUUUUGACGGAUCAACAUAUAGUAUAACAGAGCAUAAUCCUUACACAAUAAAGGCUCACAAACAAGUCAUUUGUCAUACACUGUGGGCUUACUAAAAUUCAAUUUUUUUAUCUUGUGUUGCAGAUACUUUUCAUUUACUGCAAGUAUUUCACUUUGGCAUAAAUGUGAGUUACAUCUCUAGCAUUAAAAGAUUGGUAACACAGACCAUUGAUAUCACUUCCAAGACUGUGUUUUCCUUGUCAUACUAGUUUCUGUUUGUUGAAAAACACACAUUUAGUUUUGUUGAUAUAUGCACAGUAAUGAACAAUUUAAUGAGGCAGAGACCACAUAUAUUUAUCCAGAAUUUCAUCAUCCACUACUACAUUUAAAUCUUAUAGAUCAUUAACUAUUUGUUCAUUCAAUUGUCCACAGAAAGGUGACAGAGGAACAGGUCAUACUGGGAGCAGUAUCAGUCUGUGACUUGGAUGGAGCAGUUACUGAUUUGAUACCAUUAAAGCACAUAAGCUUUGUAAUGAUUAAGAUGAUGAGUCCAUGUAAAUACUGGAAGUUUUAUUUCUUUAUACUAAAACUUGCUACUUUAAGUUAUGUUUCAGAAAUAUCUUCAGCACCUCGACUUGAAAAAUAACAGGAAUACCAUCUAGAAUAUUACAAGUGAGGACAGUGAGUCAAUGAUAAUCCAUGAGCUUAGGUUGAAGGAAAAUAAAUUCUAUAUAUCUAAUAAAAGUUGAUUAUAAUGUGUGAUGUUGUAGACAAAUAAUAAUCUGUUUUGUGCUAUCUUUUACAUAAUGAACUUGGUGACAACAUGUGGAGCAAAACUGGAAUGAGCAAAGAAUACCAACCAAGUUUAAGACCCAAAAACCAGAAAGAGCCACGACCCGUGGUGGAACACACCCAUGUUUGAAAAAUUUGUUCCAAAUGCACAGUGAUUUUUUUUAUUUUAUUUUAUUUUAUUUGUUGAUGUACACAGUUGAUAACGUCCUACUGGGGUUUUGAGGAGCUGGUUUUCCUUCACUGUUGGCAAAUGCCAGGACAUAUGAGAAGUUUCCAGCUCAGAAAAUGCUGUAGAUAAAUACCAAAAGAAAACUGCUUCCUGUAACAUCUUUUAUUAAAAAUGUGUCAUAAUGCAAUUUGUAACUUUUCUAAAUAUUUGCAGUCUGUGUAACUUGUAAAACUGAAUU
Molecule: long non-coding RNA, 3346 nt
Organism: Schistocerca nitens (vagrant locust)
Lineage: Eukaryota; Metazoa; Arthropoda; Insecta; Orthoptera; Acrididae
Exons: 4
Source: RefSeq, a predicted model, not a curated record